UCCUACGGGGGGCAGCAGUGGGGGAUAUUGCACAAUGGGGGGAACCCUGAUGCAGCGACGCCGCGUGGGUGAAGAAGCGCCUCGGCGCGUAAAGCCCUGUCAGCAGGGAAGAAAAUGACGGUACCUGAAGAAGAAGCCCCGGCUAACUACGUGCCAGCAGCCGCGGUAAUACGUAGGGGGCAAGCGUUAUCCGGAUUUACUGGGUGUAAAGGGGGCGCAGACGGCGAUGCAAGCCAGGAGUGAAAGCCCGGGGCCCAACCGUGGGACUGCUCUGGAAACUGUAGAGCUGGAGUGCGGGAGGGGCG
This 305-nucleotide ribosomal RNA is filed under the name uncultured bacterium. RNAcentral's name for it is "partial 16S ribosomal RNA". It matches the Rfam family "Bacterial small subunit ribosomal RNA", at positions 337 to 659 of the family's 1533-position model. The record is from RNAcentral.